CCUACGGGAGGCAGCAGUGAGGAAUAUUGGUCAAUGGGCGAGAGCCUGAACCAGCCAAGUCGCGUGAGGGAAGAAGGAUCUCUGCUUUGUAAACUUCUUUUAUAUGGGAAUAAAGUGAGGAACGUGUUCCAUUUUGUACGUCCCACAUGAAUAAGCCUCGGCUAACUCCGUGCAAGCAGCCGCGGUAAUACGGAGGAUGCGAGCGUUAUCCGGAUUUAUUGGGUUUAAAGGGUGCGUAGGUGGUAAAUUAAGUCAGCGGUGAAAGCUUGUGGCUCAACCCUAGGAUUGCCGUUGAAACUGGUUGGCUUGAGUAUAUUAGAGGUAGGCGGAAUGCGUGGUGUAGCGGUGAAAUGCAUAGAUAUCACGCAGAACUCCGAUUGCGAAGGCAGCAUACUGGACUAUGACUGACGCUGAGGCACGAAAGCGUGGGGAUCGAACAGGAUUAGAUACCCGAGUAGUC
RNAcentral lists this ribosomal RNA (460 nucleotides) under uncultured bacterium. RNAcentral's name for it is "partial 16S ribosomal RNA". It matches the Rfam family "Bacterial small subunit ribosomal RNA", at positions 338 to 795 of the family's 1533-position model. The record is from RNAcentral.